This 253-nucleotide ribosomal RNA is filed under the name uncultured bacterium. RNAcentral's name for it is "partial 16S ribosomal RNA". It matches the Rfam family "Bacterial small subunit ribosomal RNA", at positions 524 to 776 of the family's 1533-position model. The record is from RNAcentral.
UACGAAGGGGGCUAGCGUUGCUCGGAAUCACUGGGCGUAAAGCGCACGUAGGCGGAUUGUUAAGUCAGGGGUGAAAUCCUGGAGCUCAACUCCAGAACUGCCCUUGAUACUGGCGAUCUCGAGUUCGGGAGAGGUGAGUGGAACUGCGAGUGUAGAGGUGAAAUUCGUAGAUAUUCGCAAGAACACCAGUGGCGAAGGCGGCUCACUGGCCCGAUACUGACGCUGAGGUGCGAAAGCAUGGGGAGCAAACAGG